AAAAACCCAAGGCGGGUUCCGCCCCUCGCACCGGGGAGGCUGGAGAGGAACGGCCCACGGAGCUACCACCGCCCUUCGCGCCGUCUUCGCUGACAUCAUGCUCCAGUUCCUGGUUGGAUUUACAUUUGGCAACCUGGUUGGAAUGUAUCUGGCUCAAAAUUAUGACAUGCCAAACCUGGCU
This is a long non-coding RNA of Myotis davidii, 181 nucleotides long. RefSeq lists it as uncharacterized. The transcript has 3 exons. The record is from RefSeq and is a predicted model, not a curated record. Lineage: Eukaryota; Metazoa; Chordata; Mammalia; Chiroptera; Vespertilionidae.